Non-coding RNA from Kogia breviceps (pygmy sperm whale), 439 nucleotides. NCBI's taxonomy places the organism in Eukaryota, Metazoa, Chordata, Mammalia, Artiodactyla, Physeteridae. The record is from RefSeq and is a predicted model, not a curated record.
UAAGUGAAGUAGAGUAGAGAAUAUGAUACGUUAUUGCUUCACAAAAUGGUCUUGUUUGGGAAAUGCUGAUGUAUUUCAAUUUCCUCAUUCUACCUAAAGGAAAAAUCGAGGUUCAAGAAGACAAAGAGUCUUACCACAGGAUCAUGUAUAAUAAAUACUUCUGGAUAUCACCAUCAACUUCAUCUCACUGCACCUUUACUUUUUCAUCAACAAGGCACACAUCUUCAUCUGUAACUGAUAAAGAAUUUUAAAAAUUAAAAUACAGGGUCAAGAAUUGAAGAGGCCUGACCAAUACAUAGCCCAUCUUGUAAAACUACAGCCUGAAGCAAGUACUUCAAAAAAAGCAUGACACUUUCUAAAGGUUAUAAAGAGUAAAUAAACCAUCAAAUUACUCCUCUUUUAUUGUUUUUAUAAAAACACUUAAAUCCUUGUAGUCCUA